This is a long non-coding RNA of Solea solea (common sole), 3644 nucleotides long. RefSeq lists it as uncharacterized. The record is from RefSeq and is a predicted model, not a curated record. Lineage: Eukaryota; Metazoa; Chordata; Actinopteri; Pleuronectiformes; Soleidae. The transcript is spliced from 3 exons.
GCGCGUGGACGGAAGAGCGUGAAAGACCUGUGGCAGCAGCAGCAGCAGCUGGAGAGCGAGGCACUCACGCACUCAUUAAUUCACCCAUUCAUUCAGCCCCGCGGUGCAGUUAAAGGGCGUCGCUGUUCACUUUAAUACCUCCCAGCUCUCAGCGUUUCUUUGUCCCGGCUUUUCUUGCGUGUGUAGUGGGUUGUGUUUUUUUGUCCCUGUGGACUGAACUCAUGUCAGUGCGCAGCUGCUGUUGACGCUCCUACAUCUGCUGCUCGGCUCAGCUCAGCUCGGCUCAGCUCAGCUCGGCGGCCAUAGACGAGGACGACGCUCCUGCGUUUUACUGCGGGUGAAUGAAGUCAGUGCACACGCACACACGGCGGUGAUGAUCAGGUCAGGAAGCUCGAUGGAGAACAAGAAGAACCCGAAAAGGAGAAGAAGGAGAUUGUUGCUGUGUUUCUGAACCUUUGGCUGCUGAUGUACAGAGCUGAUGACAUGUCACCAGUCAGGACACUGGGAGGAGCCACACUGGGAGCCACCAUCAUGACAGGUUAUGUGUACUGGCUGAAUUACCUUUUAUUAACACAAACAAGGAAGUCUCUUUUCACAGACAAGUGAUAUCAGUUCAGGCAAAUCUAGUCUCAGCGUUCCAUCACUUGUGUAACUGAGAUCAGAGAAGCAGAAAAAAGUGAUUCAGAUCUUGAAGCAUUUGGGUUUCAUUUCAUUCUCGUUUGUCUCUGAAGAGAAAAGCAGCGAGGAGAAUCAAUGACGCAAAAGAACAGGCAUCGCCCGCAGGUGUUUGGGAGGACAGUUGGGUUGCGUUCCACUUUUCUGCUGCUUUGUGUUCUGUGUGUUCCUCUCCAGUUACACCGAUGGAAACGCAGUAGAGUGGGACUCACACCGGAGACUGCUGCAUUGUUCACCUGACGGACUCGCACCGAGGACCUCUGCCGCUGCCAACACGGCCUGUGAUGGAAGCACGAUGCCACCACAGCGUUCCGAGAAGAAUAUCCACGUGGAAGUGUUCAGCAGCUGGGAGACGAUUGUGCCGCCUUUGUGUGUCAGUGGAGAAGGAUUUAAAAAAAAAAAAAAAAGAAGAAAAAAAAUCCCCUUUCUAUUCACUGUGAGCACGGUCACGUUGAGCAGGAAGGUUAUUUCAUGUGUUUUCAAAAAUGAUUCACUGCAGUGUUGUUUUCUCCCCCUCCCAGCCCCAAAAUGUGUGUGAAACCAUGAGAGCUUCAUCCACUCCCACUCUCCCUCUCUCUCCCCCCCUCUCCCUACCUCUCUCUCUCACUCUCUCAAAACACUGCAGCCAUCCAACACAUCACACUUGCCUCCUUCUGCUGCUGUGUGCAGUGACCUGCGCUGUUGCCAUGGUUACAAACACAUAAGUCACUACUACCAGGAGUGGUGUUUCAACUGUGGUUAAAGGGAUAGUCCAGUUUUUUUUGUUUUUUAAAGCAUAACUUAACCCCCAAACAACUUUUUUAUAGGUGUAAACCAGUGUAUUUAAGUACCUGGAUGAUGUAAAGUAUUGAAAUUAUACAUGUCACAGACUCCUCCCCCUUUUAUAUAAAAGCUGGAGCUGUUGCUCCCUGCACUGAUCCCCACUCUGACUCACUCAGAUCUCAUCCCAGCUUCUAGGCAUUUUUCAAAAUCAGGCACUGGGCCGGAGUUAGCCUCAGGAGAUGGGGGUUUAGUUAUGGUUAUAUGAGGUAUUACCAGACCCUCUUUCUGAUUGACAGAUUGACAGACCAAAUAGGUUCACCUAAUAAAAAUCUACACCUGCUUUAGUCUGCGAGUAGUGGUUUACAAGCGAACAUCAUUCUUAAGAUUUCAUAGAUCAAAGCAGAUAUAGAUUUUAUUCUGUGGCUAAAAUCUCUUGUCUAUGUUUUCACUGCAAAGUCAGUGUGGACAACACCUUAUAUAACCACAGAAAAACCCUGAACUAUCCCUUUAACUUGUUAAUCAGCCAACAUGUAGAUCAGAACUGCUUUAAUAUUUAAAGUGUGAGAUAAUGUAUUUUCUAUCUAAUUUUACAUGAUUCUAUUUAUUACAAACACCUUUUACUGUCACGUGUGUUUGUGUGUCUGUGUGAGUGUGUGUGUUCUACAUAUAUGUGUGUGUGUGUGUGUGUGUCGUCAUUCCCAUAAAGGUGCAUGUGUUUUGUCUCCCUCACAAAAAUGUAUUUGUGUUGCAUCAGAAGCUGCUUUACAGUGAUUUCCCUCACAGCUUAACAGGGGAAAAAAAUAACCUUUCCAAAUGCCCAAAGUUCAAUGCUUAAGAGCCAGAAAUGGGACAAAAAAAUAUUUACAAAUGAUUAUUAGCAUUUUCUUUACAGCCUCAUUUGAAUAUAAUUACAAGAAUGAUGCUGGGAAUUAAUGGUGUGUACUUUUCUAAACGAUGCCUGCUGGCAUUAAUUAACAGUUUGCAUUGUCAUAUGAUACUUAAGCGAAUGACAUCAAAUGCUAAUAAUUAUUUGCAGAUAGUUUUUUUUUUAUCUUUUUUAACUAUUUUUGUACUAACACGAUCUAAUAUCUAACAGUACUAAUGUCUGCUAACAGUCGGGUGAUUACUAACCUUUACUCUUGAGUGCUGAUGGCUGGUUCUGUCUAUUAACCCACUGACUAACCCUCUGCUUUGUGCUCACACUCCUCUCUCAUCAUCCUGCAAUCCUUCUGCUACAAACAGUGGAUCAAUCAAGAAAGAAAGAAAGAAAGAAAAUUUUAAAAAGUGAGAAUGUCAAGAAGGAUUUCAGGACAUGGGAAGGGAAAUGUUUUUAUUGUUAACUGAAGAGAUGAAAAGAAGCAGAAACAGCUGCUGACGUUAAAGUGGGUUCGACCACAGCACUUAAAGCUGCAGUACGUAACUCGUGGUGGUUUAUGUUAUUAUUAUUAUUUAGACUUUCGUUCUUAUGGAACAUCAUUAGCCCUCAACCCAUUUUAAAGAUCUGACAUUUUUAGGAUUUGGUCGGUGUCAGAUAGAGGCUUCUUAAAACAAGAAGGCUCCUAUUGGACGAUACCAGCUGUCAAUCACCCUGGUGUCCUCUCAUAUGUGCUUUAUUGUCUAAUUUCCUUUAAAUCGGCAUCUAGCAAAACUAGCAAUAGAGACCAUUAACUCCUCAGGAGAAAAUGCUCAGUGACUUAAUAAGUAACUUAAUUAGUUCAAUAACUAAAUCCAGUGGGAAGUAGAUGCUAAUAUUUGCCUUUGACUUCCAUUCAAACUCGCCCUCUAGUGGCUAUUGAGUAUAUUUGUUACUUCUGGGUCGGCCUCCUCUGGCAAACCAGAAGGCUACAGUUUUUUUUUUCUUAUCGGGACAAUGCUGAAAUUGUCAGACCUGACUGAGGGAGUGUUUAUCUAUAUACAACGGCAGAGCAGGGGGGCCGGGCCAAGAGACGUUUUUUAUUUUUAUUUUUAUUUUGGAGGGGUAGACUUUAUUUCUAAAAAUGUUUUGAGGGCGCUUUUUUGUAUUGUCUUUCUUUACUCUCUUUACAGUUUCUGCCUGUCUCAACCGCUUCCCUUGUGUCACCGGGCGACACAAAAGUAACUAAGAUUACUAACAAUUGGUGUGUGAACUCACUUAUUAAUGGUUUGGCUAUUUAAGACAUUUAAUUUACACAGAAUUCAUUAGAAGCGUUACGCACUACAGCUUUAAA